CCAUCUUUGCACAGAAUUUUUCCUUCCACGUGCAACGACGAAAUUCGUUCAUUUCAUUUCAAGACUCAAAAUGUGAACAACAUUGGAAACCCUAAGCAUUUGGCUAAAUCAAGAUCUGUGCAUUCCACGUGCAUGUGAGACACCUUGGGACAAGAUGUGAGCCCAUUGAGACACCUCGGGGCAACAUGUGAGCCCGUUGAGACACCUUGGGCCAUUAGAGCUCUGGAACACCAUUUCCGCAUUGGAGAUACUACAUUCCGGUUUGAGGUUAUGUAGGGUCCAGCUGCAGCAAGCACAUGGAUAUCACCCAUAAAGAUCAACUCAGCAAUAUGGUGUUAACGGACGCCAAGAAUAACUAAGUGAGCUCGUUCAUUCGACUGCAUUUAUACGAAUGCCGUUGACAGACUUGCAAGGAAUAAUUGGAAGUUUUCAAAUACACAAAAGCUAAUAAAUCAAAUCGAAAAUUA
Molecule: long non-coding RNA, 467 nt
Organism: Drosophila teissieri
Lineage: Eukaryota; Metazoa; Arthropoda; Insecta; Diptera; Drosophilidae
Exons: 5
Source: RefSeq, a predicted model, not a curated record